Long non-coding RNA from Danio aesculapii, 284 nucleotides. RefSeq lists it as uncharacterized. The record is from RefSeq and is a predicted model, not a curated record. NCBI's taxonomy places the organism in Eukaryota, Metazoa, Chordata, Actinopteri, Cypriniformes, Danionidae. The transcript has 3 exons.
CAAAUACCUGUGAACACUAGCUAGUAGGUUGUCAUUGUUGCUCAAGCUAUAAUUACCACAUAACGAAUGACUAACUUGUGAGUUGUGACGGAGCUGUGAUGCUGAAUUUGUCCAUCUGUCCAGCAGAGGUCAGACUUGACAUGCCGAAGUCCUGCAGGUUUCUCACACAUGGAGAAGGAAUUCAGCCCAUUGAAAGAUCCACGUCCCACACUGUUUUGAGAUUAAAUACUCAGAUAUAUAUAUUCAAGUGUUCUCCACAUGCUCCGGGCCGCCCUAUAGCAAGA